RNAcentral lists this long non-coding RNA (1048 nucleotides) under Nicotiana benthamiana. RNAcentral describes it as "long non-coding RNA (NBEN_LNC005365)". The record is from RNAcentral. Lineage: Eukaryota; Viridiplantae; Streptophyta; Magnoliopsida; Solanales; Solanaceae.
GCAAACAUGAAAAGCAAGCUUGGUUUAGUUUUAGACUCCCACCACAGUGAUCCAUAAACAUCUGAUUUAAGCUUAUAAUAAGACCUUUGAAUAUUUAACCAAGCAAACUUUGUUUUCGAUCAAAGACAUAUACCCAAUUACAUUACGUAUCAACAAAUUUGCACUAACUAAAUUGACUGCCAUAAAACUUCGGUUUUAGGAGCAGAGCAUUCAACCUUUUUAACCAGACACACUCCAGACCUUUUAACUAAAAUGAAAAAUUAAGAGUUGGAAAAGAAAUAGAACUUAGGUCAGAUCUGCAGAGCAACCAAAUGAGCGAAUACAUAUCAUACUAAGCAUGGAUCAAAUUUUAAACCAAGUGCAUCUGAACAAACACGGGCAGAAGGUAUUUUUCUUGCAAAUCCAUCAAACAUGAAAAUGUAAAUGAACUCAUAGCAACUCCUCAAUCACACAAAUGAAAUUGAUAAACUAUAGAUGCACUAAAUCAACACAAUAUUCUUUAAAAAAACACAACUACUAUUUAGUAUCAUGAGACUAGUGCACAUAUUGAACUCCCAAUCGAUUUCAUGACUACAAAAUCACAUGUCAUACAUUCAUGGGUCUAAGAAAGUACCUGGGAAAAGAAAAACAAGAAAUAGGGAUAUCAGCAGCGGACAGUAUCAGCCAGCCCAAGACCAACAAACCAAUGAAAUAGUAAAUCUCCAUAACUAACCAAAACUUGCUUUAAAAGAUUCAAAUCACCCUAUAUUCAAACCCACAUAGAUCAAAGGUAACUUCAACAAUUUUAAACUCCCGAAUGAGAGAAGGAACUUCAAUGGAAUAUUUAGGAAGUCUGAAAUCAACUCUAAACCAAAAAGUUCAAACCAUUUGUUUUCCACUAGAAAUGUAGAAAAGGGAAGUUUCUAAGUAUUCAGCAGAAAUUUUAAUGGUUUCUAAUAAUGAAAAUGUAGGAACUUAACUUAAGAACUUAAAAUAUUCAGCCGUUUCAGUUUUUGAAUUUUUAUCUCUUCAAAGUCUGCCUUCAAUGCCAAAUAAAGUUGCCUUUAUA